Molecule: ribosomal RNA, 495 nt
Filed under: Triticum aestivum (bread wheat)
Lineage: Eukaryota; Viridiplantae; Streptophyta; Magnoliopsida; Poales; Poaceae
Description: partial small subunit ribosomal RNA
Source: RNAcentral
AUGUUGAGGACCUCCCUCUAUGCGGACGAUGCGGCUGUCUUCUUGGCUCCGAUCAAAAAGGAUGUUGACAACCUGGCAAGCAUUUUGAAGGGGUUCGGGGAGGUCACAGGCCUUUGCACCAACUUCCAAAAAAGCUCGGCGGUGCCCAUUCGUUGCAACCACCUGGAUUUGGGUCGCCUAACUCAAAGUUUGCCGGCUGCACAGACCUCUUUCCCACUGCGAUACUUGGGGCUCCCCCUCUCUGUUUGGAAGCUAAAGUUGGUGGAUCUCCAAUUUCUCGUGGACAAAGUUGCAAGCAAGUUAUCAACGUAUGAUGGCCAAAACAUCACCACCAUUGGACGUACGGCCCUUGUCAAGUCCGUGAUCACUUCCCAAGUGGUCUACCCCGCCACCCCGUUGGUCAUCCCACCAACCAUACUUCACAGCGUCAACAAGCUCGAGAGAGCUUUCCUUUGGUCCGUUCGGACAAGACAACGGGGGCCAAAUGCAAGGUGA